AAGAGAUUCCUGAGAUUUUUCAACCAUUAUUGCAUAAUAGAGCAAAAGAUUGUUAACCUGUUAACUGGUACUCCGUACACACUCAAACAGACUUUCAGAGUUCGGUAAUGCAAAUUACCGAAACAGACCGGUAAUUUAAAAAAUUACAGUUGUAUCGGUAAUAACCUGCUAGAUCACCGUAAUUUGUAAAUCAAUCUACGGUAUAUCGGUGAUCUCAUCCCAUUUUAACGAGUACGGUAAUUUUAUUCACCGAAAAUAUCAGUAAAACAGAUCAAAUACCGAGUUCGGUAAAAUAUUACUGAACCUUCAGUAAAUUUGAGCUGUCAACUCCAACUUCUACAUGUUUUCGACAGAAAUUCUCAAGUACGCAGUGCAAUGCAAUCCUCCUGCAAAGCGCAACGAAAGCGAGUCACAAAAUUAGUGGAUGCAUUCAUCAAAACCCACCAGAAACUGUUGAUUCAAACGUUUUUUUUUCCUGCUCCUGUUUCGAACGCCAUGGAGAUCGGUUUCGAAGUUCUACCUAUGAGGAAUGCCAAAACCGUGCGGUGCUUCGAAAAUACUACUGCAUCAAAUUAAUAUAUGAAUAAAAGAUUAUUUGAUUUACAUUUGAAUCGCA
Molecule: long non-coding RNA, 616 nt
Organism: Aedes aegypti (yellow fever mosquito)
Lineage: Eukaryota; Metazoa; Arthropoda; Insecta; Diptera; Culicidae
Exons: 2
Source: RefSeq, a predicted model, not a curated record